This 2344-nucleotide ribosomal RNA is filed under the name Escherichia coli. RNAcentral's name for it is "partial 23S ribosomal RNA". It matches the Rfam family "Bacterial large subunit ribosomal RNA", at positions 418 to 2747 of the family's 2925-position model. The record is from RNAcentral. Lineage: Bacteria; Pseudomonadati; Pseudomonadota; Gammaproteobacteria; Enterobacterales; Enterobacteriaceae.
CGGGACACGUGGUAUCCUGUCUGAAUAUGGGGGGACCAUCCUCCAAGGCUAAAUACUCCUGACUGACCGAUAGUGAACCAGUACCGUGAGGGAAAGGCGAAAAGAACCCCGGCGAGGGGAGUGAAAAAGAACCUGAAACCGUGUACGUACAAGCAGUGGGAGCACGCUUAGGCGUGUGACUGCGUACCUUUUGUAUAAUGGGUCAGCGACUUAUAUUCUGUAGCAAGGUUAACCGAAUAGGGGAGCCGAAGGGAAACCGAGUCUUAACUGGGCGUUAAGUUGCAGGGUAUAGACCCGAAACCCGGUGAUCUAGCCAUGGGCAGGUUGAAGGUUGGGUAACACUAACUGGAGGACCGAACCGACUAAUGUUGAAAAAUUAGCGGAUGACUUGUGGCUGGGGGUGAAAGGCCAAUCAAACCGGGAGAUAGCUGGUUCUCCCCGAAAGCUAUUUAGGUAGCGCCUCGUGAAUUCAUCUCCGGGGGUAGAGCACUGUUUCGGCAAGGGGGUCAUCCCGACUUACCAACCCGAUGCAAACUGCGAAUACCGGAGAAUGUUAUCACGGGAGACACACGGCGGGUGCUAACGUCCGUCGUGAAGAGGGAAACAACCCAGACCGCCAGCUAAGGUCCCAAAGUCAUGGUUAAGUGGGAAACGAUGUGGGAAGGCCCAGACAGCCAGGAUGUUGGCUUAGAAGCAGCCAUCAUUUAAAGAAAGCGUAAUAGCUCACUGGUCGAGUCGGCCUGCGCGGAAGAUGUAACGGGGCUAAACCAUGCACCGAAGCUGCGGCAGCGACGCUGAUGCGUUGUUGGGUAGGGGAGCGUUCUGUAAGCCUGUGAAGGUGUGCUGUGAGGCAUGCUGGAGGUAUCAGAAGUGCGAAUGCUGACAUAAGUAACGAUAAAGCGGGUGAAAAGCCCGCUCGCCGGAAGACCAAGGGUUCCUGUCCAACGUUAAUCGGGGCAGGGUGAGUCGACCCCUAAGGCGAGGCCGAAAGGCGUAGUCGAUGGGAAACAGGUUAAUAUUCCUGUACUUGGUGUUACUGCGAAGGGGGGACGGAGAAGGCUAUGUUGGCCGGGCGACGGUUGUCCCGGUUUAAGCGUGUAGGCUGGUUUUCCAGGCAAAUCCGGAAAAUCAAGGCUGAGGCGUGAUGACGAGGCACUACGGUGCUGAAGCAACAAAUGCCCUGCUUCCAGGAAAAGCCUCUAAGCAUCAGGUAACAUCAAAUCGUACCCCAAACCGACACAGGUGGUCAGGUAGAGAAUACCAAGGCGCUUGAGAGAACUCGGGUGAAGGAACUAGGCAAAAUGGUGCCGUAACUUCGGGAGAAGGCACGCUGAUAUGUAGGUGAAGCGACUUGCUCGUGGAGCUGAAAUCAGUCGAAGAUACCAGCUGGCUGCAACUGUUUAUUAAAAACACAGCACUGUGCAAACACGAAAGUGGACGUAUACGGUGUGACGCCUGCCCGGUGCCGGAAGGUUAAUUGAUGGGGUCAGCGCAAGCGAAGCUCUUGAUCGAAGCCCCGGUAAACGGCGGCCGUAACUAUAACGGUCCUAAGGUAGCGAAAUUCCUUGUCGGGUAAGUUCCGACCUGCACGAAUGGCGUAAUGAUGGCCAGGCUGUCUCCACCCGAGACUCAGUGAAAUUGAACUCGCUGUGAAGAUGCAGUGUACCCGCGGCAAGACGGAAAGACCCCGUGAACCUUUACUAUAGCUUGACACUGAACAUUGAGCCUUGAUGUGUAGGAUAGGUGGGAGGCUUUGAAGUGUGGACGCCAGUCUGCAUGGAGCCGGCCUUGAAAUACCACCCUUUAAUGUUUGAUGUUCUAACGUUGACCCGUGAUCCGGGUUGCGGACAGUGUCUGGUGGGUAGUUUGACUGGGGCGGUCUCCUCCUAAAGAGUAACGGAGGAGCACGAAGGUUGGCUAAUCCUGGUCGGACAUCAGGAGGUUAGUGCAAUGGCAUAAGCCAGCUUGACUGCGAGCGUGACGGCGCGAGCAGGUGCGAAAGCAGGUCAUAGUGAUCCGGUGGUUCUGAAUGGAAGGGCCAUCGCUCAACGGAUAAAAGGUACUCCGGGGAUAACAGGCUGAUACCGCCCAAGAGUUCAUAUCGACGGCGGUGUUUGGCACCUCGAUGUCGGCUCAUCACAUCCUGGGGCUGAAGUAGGUCCCAAGGGUAUGGCUGUUCGCCAUUUAAAGUGGUACGCGAGCUGGGUUUAGAACGUCGUGAGACAGUUCGGUCCCUAUCUGCCGUGGGCGCUGGAGAACUGAGGGGGGCUGCUCCUAGUACGAGAGGACCGGAGUGGACGCAUCACUGGUGUUCGGGUUGUCAUGCCAAUGGCACUGCCCGGUA